AUAUCGAGUGAUACUAAUCAUACAAAUAUCCAUUGUUUAUUGUCAUUACCACAUCAAAAUGUAGGAAUGAAAAGAACAAAAUAUAAGACUAAGAGAAAUAAGGCGGUUUUUUUUUUUUGUUUGUUUGUUUGUUUUUUGAGCCUGAAAAUGUAAUAGGAGCACCACAGACAUUACCUUCUCUGCUCUGCAUUCAGUAAAAUUUUAUUAGCUUAAUAUUAUGUUAUUCCACAUUCCUUUCUGUCUUUCUGUCUUGGAGCUUCCUUAGUCAUUUUCUGUUGCCUGAUUUGAGGGGUUCGUUGUUAAGUUAAAUAUUGAUGGUCACUCCCUGAUUGUCUGAUAUUCCCUUAUUUAGUCAGAAAAUAGAUAAAAACACAUUACUUGUAUUUUGUAUAAUAAAAGAUGUGGCUGUAAUACCUUUUUUUUUUUUUUUUUUUUAAAGAUGGAUGAAUGCCACAGAAAAAAUAUUUUUACAAAGAGGAUUAAGGAAUCUCUAGAGAUGGUAUUUAGGCAGAUGAUCUCUGUUUGAGCAACAUUUCCCCUGAGGUGUGGGUUGGUCUAUGAAAGAAUUUGCGUUCCUGAUAAUAGGCCUUUGGACAUUUUCCCAGGUAGUGGAACUAAUUCAUAUGAUACAUUUGUAUACCCUUACAAUACAAUUUUGAUAUGUUAACCUAGUUAAAAUAUAUAUAUAUAUGUAUAUAAUAAAAAGAGUUGCAUUCUAAAGUUCCACUCUUAAGCCUACAGUUAAAAUUAAUCUCAUUAUCUUCCCUGCUGUGGCAUGCAGAAUCUCUUACCUCCGGGUUGAUUAUUUCAUUAGAAAAGUAUUUGAAAAUAUAAUUUCUUCUAAACUACCAAAUGGAAAAUAAACAGACUGAUUUCAAAUUUAAUGUUCAUGUACUUUUGAAAGAGGGUAAAAAGAAAUUUCCUUUAUGUAAAAUUUACUGUUGUACACAGCAUUCCUUUAUCAUAAUGAUUGAAGUAUAUAAUGUUUAACAUUUCUGCAGUAUAAUUUCCCCCCUAGUAAAUUCUUUGGAACAUUUACAAUCUUCAGUCUUCAGAUAAACAAAUCUUAGCUCCUAAAGAAGCAAAGGACCAAACUUAAAUUGGCUCAAUUAUGACUGAGAAAGAUUUGUCUGACAAGCACAGCUCUUUUAAUCUGUUCAUGAGUUUCCCUCAAAUGAUUCUUUUAAACUUGCAAUUGACACAAAGACACAAAUACUGAUUCUGCAGUUUAUUUGUAAUAACUUUCAGCCUCAGUUAGCUUAUUGAUUUUCCUUUAUACUCCAUCAGUAUUUAAAAGUAAGAGAGCACAGGGUUUGUUCUUCAGCCCACAGGCACCAAGUGUCUGUAAUAUAUGUCUAUAUUGUAAAAAUCUCUCCUGCAGCAACACCCUUAUACCUACUGUCUGUUGGAGAUUGAUCUGUUCUUAGUAUUAUCUGGGAAAAGUUGUCACAAGCCAAAAACACACCAAAAGACAUGUUGGCCACUACACAGUACCAUAUACCAGUGUUUGAACUUUGGGUCUUGCCCUGUUUACUAUUUUAGCAUAAAUGCAACCCUCAAAUAAUUCAUAACAGAGUUUUAUGCUUCAGAAGGACAUGGAAGUAUUAGAAUGAGUCCAGAGGAGGGCCACCAAGAUGAACAAAGGUCUGGAGUACCUCUCCUAUGAAGACAGGCUAAGGGAGUUGGGGAUGUUUAGCCUAAAGAGAAGGCUCUUGGGUGUUCUCAUAGCAACUUUUCAAUAUUUAAAGGAGGGAGAGGAGUUAUAAAAAAGAUGGAGAACAAGUUUUUGCUCAGGCAGAUAAUGACAGUACAAGGAGGAAUAGAUUUAAAGUAAAAUUUAAAGUAAAAGAAGGCAAAUUUAGUUUAGAGAUUAGGAGGAAAUACUUCACUCAGAGGGUGGUGAGGCACUGGAACAGGUUUCCCAGAGAGACUGUGGAUGCCUCAUCCCUGGAGGUGUUCAAAGUCAGGAUGUAUGAGGCCCUAGGCAACCUGAUCUAGUGGGUGGCAUUUCUGCCUAUGGCAGUGGGUUGGAACUAGAUAGUUUUUAAGGUCCUUUUCAACCCAAACCACUCUGAUUCUAUAACUUUAUGAUGAUGUGUUAUCCUUUCUACAAGCAAUAGGUAUCAAUGUAUUCAGGGUCAUGGCUACUUUUGAGAUCUUUGAGGUCUCUUCCAACCUAGAUGAUUCUGUGAUUCUGUGAAAAGAGAGGAACUUGUUCUGUUUUCCUCUAAGGAAGAUAUGAAAUGAUACUUGCUGCUACUGCAGGUCUCUAGUAGCACAAUGCAAGCAGGAGACUGCAGCUUUGGAGAAUAAAGUAGUCCAAUGGGAGUCUAGGCUC
RNAcentral lists this long non-coding RNA (2338 nucleotides) under Anas platyrhynchos platyrhynchos (common mallard). RNAcentral's name for it is "lncRNA (ENSAPLG00000018537.1)". The record is from RNAcentral. Lineage: Eukaryota; Metazoa; Chordata; Aves; Anseriformes; Anatidae.